UGUGAACUACGUGACCGCGAAGGAUGC
Molecule: non-coding RNA, 27 nt
Filed under: Homo sapiens (human)
Lineage: Eukaryota; Metazoa; Chordata; Mammalia; Primates; Hominidae
Source: RNAcentral